This 253-nucleotide ribosomal RNA is filed under the name uncultured bacterium. RNAcentral describes it as "partial 16S ribosomal RNA". It matches the Rfam family "Bacterial small subunit ribosomal RNA", at positions 524 to 776 of the family's 1533-position model. The record is from RNAcentral.
GACAGAGGAUGCAAGCGUUAUCCGGAAUGAUUGGGCGUAAAGCGUCUGUAGGUGGCUUUUUAAGUCUGCCGUCAAAUCCCAGGGCUUAACCCUGGACAGGCGGUGGAAACUACCAAGCUGGAGUACGGUAGGGGCAGAGGGAAUUUCCGGUGGAGCGGUGAAAUGCGCAGAUAUCAGGAGGAACACCGGUGGCGAAGGCGGGUCUCUGGGCCGAUACUGACGCUAAGGAGCGAAAGCGUGGGGAGCGAACAGG